UACCAGCACCCCGAGUGGUCGGGACGAUUAUUGGGCCUAAAGCAUCCGUAGCCGGUCCUACAAGUCUUCCGUUAAAUCCACCUGCUUAACAGAUGGGCUGCGGAAGAUACUAUAGGGCUAGGAGGCGGGAGAGACAAGCGGUACUCAGUGGGUAGGGGUAAAAUCCUCUGAUCCAUUGAAGACCACCAGUGGCGAAGGCGGCUUGCCAGAACGCGCUCGACGGUGAGGGAUGAAAGCUGGGGGAGCAAACCGGG
This 254-nucleotide ribosomal RNA is filed under the name uncultured bacterium. RNAcentral's name for it is "partial 16S ribosomal RNA". It matches the Rfam family "Archaeal small subunit ribosomal RNA", at positions 474 to 728 of the family's 1478-position model. The record is from RNAcentral.